Long non-coding RNA from Cynoglossus semilaevis (tongue sole), 475 nucleotides. RefSeq lists it as uncharacterized. The transcript is spliced from 7 exons. The record is from RefSeq and is a predicted model, not a curated record. Lineage: Eukaryota; Metazoa; Chordata; Actinopteri; Pleuronectiformes; Cynoglossidae.
CCGUUCUCUUGCUUGUGAGACGCUAUUGGAAGGUGGUGCUGGGGUUUUUAAAAUCCGUGAUGACACAAAUGACCAUGUGGCGGUGCGGAGGACGCCAUGGAAAAGUUACAUGACUCAAAAAUGAGGUAAAUGGGGGGAAAAUAACAACAUUGGACUCUGUGUCCAGUCACCGUCCAGGCCUUAUUACGUUAAUGCAGAAACUUGACGUACAGGUUGAAGAUGUGCAGUCUUUGACAGUGGUGUGAGCAGCAAAGGUUUGCCUCCUGGACCCAAACAAACGAGGUGUCAACGCGGAAACAAUUGCAGUAUCAUGCAGGAGACUUGAGGUUCCACUUCAAAGGGUGCAGCAACAGCGUGGUGCAGCAGUCAACACAGCUACUGGAAUUUGGCACAGAUUGACAACUGUUUUGUUUUUGUCUUUAACAGUUGGCCUUGUAAUGCUUGUAUAAACAAAUAAAGAUUCUAUUCCAUUGUA